RNAcentral lists this unclassified non-coding RNA (310 nucleotides) under fungal sp. RNAcentral describes it as "partial internal transcribed spacer region". The stretch from base 1 to 46 matches the Rfam family "Eukaryotic small subunit ribosomal RNA", at positions 1786 to 1831 of the family's 1831-position model. Lineage: Eukaryota; Fungi. The record is from RNAcentral.
AAGUCGUAACAAGGUUUCCGUAGGUGAACCUGCGGAAGGAUCAUCACUGAUUUUCUUUAUGAAAAACAACAUCGGUCUCACAGUAAAAACAUCAAGGUUGCAAUAGGAGUUUAUUGCUUUUAGGGUCUUGCACUCUAUGAGCUCUACUGGUUAUGGACUAGACAGUUUUCACCUAGUGAUGCUGUUUUUGUUUUGUAACUGCUCCUACUGCUCCCUACCUAGUAUAACUAUUAUCAUUUACAACCUAUUAAGCCAUACAAGAAAUUCAAAAAGAAAAACACAACUUUCAACAAUGGAUCUCUUGGCUCUU